ACUAUAUUGGCAGAAAAGUGCAUUAAAUUUAGAAUUUAAAUAUAUUUAUAAAUAUAUAAUAUAUAGUA
This 68-nucleotide transfer RNA is filed under the name Cerceris sp. SJW-2017. RNAcentral describes it as "tRNA-Leu". Lineage: Eukaryota; Metazoa; Arthropoda; Insecta; Hymenoptera; Crabronidae. The record is from RNAcentral.